CCAAUCCUGACUCAGGGAGGUAGUGACAAGAAAUAACAACACUGGAAAUUUUAUUUCUAGUGAUUGGAAUGAUGGGAAUCCAAACCCCUUUCAGAGUAACAAUUGGAGGGCAAGUCUGGUGCCAGCAGCCGCGGUAAUUCCAGCUCCAAUAGCGUAUAUUAAAGUUGUUGCAGUUAAAAAGCUCGUAGUUGGAUAUCUGCUGGAAGCAGCCAGUCCGCCCUUUGUGGGUGUGCACUUGGUGAAUUCUGGCAUCCUCCUGAUUGGUGUUACCAUCACUUGAUUGUGUUGGUGGCAGCUGUCAGGACUGUUACUUUGAGAAAAUUAGAGUGUUUCAAGCAGGCUUGUUGCCUUGAAUACUGCAGCAUGGAAUAACAAGAUAGGAUUUCGGUUCUAUUUUGUUGGUUUCUAGGACUGAAGUAAUGAUUAAUAGGGACAGUUGGGGGCAUUCGUAUUUAACUGUCAGAGGUGAAAUUCUUAGAUUUGUUAAAGACGAACUACUGCGAAAGCAUUUGCCAAAGAUGUUUUCAUUAAUCAAGAACGAAAGUUAGGGGCUCGAAGACGAUCAGAUACCGUCGUAGUCUUAACCAUAAACUAUGCCGACUAGAGAUAGGAAAACGUCAUCCUUGACUUCUCCUGCA
Molecule: ribosomal RNA, 638 nt
Filed under: Sarcocystis sp.
Lineage: Eukaryota; Apicomplexa; Conoidasida; Eucoccidiorida; Sarcocystidae
Description: SSU rRNA
Rfam family: Eukaryotic small subunit ribosomal RNA
Source: RNAcentral